GAAGAAGAACUUAGAUUGAGUUGUAAAGGAUAUCAUACGAAUUAAAGAAAAUUCGUAUUAAGUAAAGAGAAAGUUAGAAGUUCUAAGAUUUCGAUUGAGGACUCAUAUGAUAGUUGAGUAGUACGAACCUUCGAAUGGGAGGGGGUUUGUGAUUACUUAGUUAUUAUAGUGAUAAUCGUUGGAACAGUAUGUCGCGCUAUCAAUAUGUAUAUGACGAGAAUGUGAAUCUUUUCUCAUGUAUAUACUUGAUAGGUAGAGAAUG
This 262-nucleotide long non-coding RNA is filed under the name Panax ginseng (ginseng). RNAcentral describes it as "long non-coding RNA (PGIN_LNC013749)". The record is from RNAcentral. Lineage: Eukaryota; Viridiplantae; Streptophyta; Magnoliopsida; Apiales; Araliaceae.